AAUACUUACCCCAACGGCAGCAUUAGUAGUCAAAAGCUCAAGUGCUGGCAAGAAACCUCUGUACACAAAAUCAACAAUAUUUGGAAUCAGACGGAAUAUCAUCAGAGGCUGGAAAGGUCUUAUAUAAGAGAAUUGGGUAAAGAAGUUCAAAGAAAAAGGCUGAUUCAGUAAACUCUUACGUGAGAGACUUUCCUUGAAAGAUGACUGGUGGAGCUACUGCAGCAAAUCCGCAGAAUGCAAUGUGAAACUGAAAGUGCAAGACAGUGUAAACAUCUAAAGCUUAGUGGUUUUAUUUUUUCAUGGCUUCCUGAGAAACCUCUGAUGCCGAGGAAAAUGUACCAUUUGGGGAUACGAUUUAUCUUACCACGUAAAAGAAAAAAAAAGCUCCAAACUUCAGGGCACUAUCAGUUCUGCAAUAGCUCGGUACAGAGGACGAUACCAUAAGACGUAAGCCCCAGGGACCCCAGCUAUGAAGUAGAUGAUUGACAUAAGCCAUAUAGUGGGACCUGAUAACAUUACAAUCACAUGAGUCAACAUGACAAGAGGACUUGUUGCAGCGGUCUAAGGUGGCCUUUACGUUACCUAACAGUGUGGUGAAUGCGACGUAUUGGAUCUUCUGUAAAUGGAGCGGAAUCUCAUUUGGAAUGUCAUUAUGAAUUAAAGGGAAAAACUCGGGCCAAUUCUUCUCCUCAAUGACUACUCCAGCUGCCAAAACCAACCUUAUCAGGUCUCGAAAUCUGUAGGUCACAUGGAAGCCAGAAAACUACCUGCUCUUUCCGCUUCAGUUCGUUCUCUUUAGCCUGGAGUUCCAUCUCCCUAGCUCGAAGAUCCUUCAAUCAGAAACAGCCAAAAUGAGAUCCGCCGUUUCAUUACUUUGAGCAAAGAACUGAAAGGCAAAAUGCAGAAGGUAUUGGUACCUUGCCGGAAUCCAAAGGGAUAUCAACGGUUGCACCGCGAUCAUAAGGUUCCGGUGGAAGCGGCUUGAGAUAUGAGUUGCUUGCAGCAGGAACAUUUGUAUAAUUCUACAACAUCAUAAAGUCAGAGAUCAAACGUGUAAGCUUACAAGAAAGAUCAGUAAUUGAUUCUUGAUUCAAGAAACAGAGGUCUUUUACCGCAAAUGGAUUGAUCUCUUCAUCAGCAAAUGGAUUAGGAUCAUGUCGUGCCAUCUUUGAGAUUUCGUCUUUAUCAAAUCAAGAGAUGUAUUCAAGAAAGAGUUUUGGAGGUCGUUGACAGAAAUCGAAAAUGCGGAGAAAGUGGUUUACAAUGAAUGGCUACUUUGUAGUCAGAGAAAGAGAGAAAACAAAAAGUAAUGGCAUAUGUGCGCGCCAGAGAGAUCCAAGGCAUUUUAACGGCUUCUCUCUUCGUUUUGUAACCAAUUUGUUUUUUCGUGGUCCGGUUUAGUAAUUUUUUCCGGUUUUGUAACUUGUAAUACAUGAACAUGUGUACUUUUAACAACCAGUGAGUUAACUAA
This is a long non-coding RNA of Brassica rapa (field mustard), 1471 nucleotides long. RefSeq lists it as uncharacterized. NCBI's taxonomy places the organism in Eukaryota, Viridiplantae, Streptophyta, Magnoliopsida, Brassicales, Brassicaceae. The record is from RefSeq and is a predicted model, not a curated record.